GCGGGUAUGAUGUAAUUGGUAGCAUGAUGUCCUUCCAAGUCGUUCGUCUCGGUUCGAGUCCGUGUACCCGCU
Molecule: transfer RNA, 72 nt
Filed under: Vibrio phage nt-1
Lineage: Duplodnaviria; Heunggongvirae; Uroviricota; Caudoviricetes; Pantevenvirales; Straboviridae
Rfam family: tRNA
About the family: Transfer RNA (tRNA) molecules are approximately 80 nucleotides in length. Their secondary structure includes four short double-helical elements and three loops (D, anti-codon, and T loops).
Source: Rfam by way of RNAcentral